ACCUUUAGCAGUUACCUCAGAACGUGAUUCUGUUGUUGAUUUUGUAACGCCCUACUUGGGAACAACUGGUUUACAAGUACUCAGAGUUCGCCAUACUCCAGCGGCGUUUAUAUUCUUAGACGUCUUUUCUUUAUCUGUUUGGCUGUCGUGUUUAGUGGUUUUACUUUUAACCAGCAUUCUAUUGUUCAUCUUUCAAAAAUAUACAGCCGAAAACAUCCACAGUGAUUCCUACUCAUCAAACAAGACAUGUUUUGGAGACGCAGUGUGGUUUGUUGUUUCUUCUCUAUGUUUUGAAGGUUGUGACAAUUCAUGGUUAAAUGGAUAUUCACGGAUCUUAAUAGCUGGAUUAUGGUUUUUCUCUUCAAUAUUUAUGGCCUGCUUCACAGCUAACAUGGCUGCCUUUCUGACAAAUCUUCGACUGGAAGAUGAUAGCAGUACGGUUUUAAAUGAACUCAAAAGUGAUGCGACUAAUUUUACGGUUGAAGCGGGUUCGUGGGAAAUGGAAUAUAUUAAAAAUCUUGCCGAGUACGAGCAAUACUUUUCAAAUAUUUGGAAAAAUUUUGUGACCGAAAAUAUAUAUAAUGUUACAAAUUAUACAGUAUGGUCAUUUCCACUGAACAUGAUGUUUACAGAUCUUCAAGGGAACAUAAAUCGAAAUCCAUUACCAUCUUCACUCGAUUCAGCGUUGACAUUUUUAAAUAAGGGAUAUGAAGUGAUUGUUGAUUCAUCUGUAGCUUCAUUUUUAACAAAUAAAAACUGCAGCCUAGAAAAAGUGUCGAAUCCAAUCGCUAUACAUCCUGUUGGACUUGCUAUCUCUAAAGGCUCCAAGUAUAGACAAAUCAUUUCAGAAAGGUUACUUUUUCUGCAGCAGACUCAAACAUUUGAUGUUCUUAAACGUAAAUGGUGGCAGGAAGACUCACCAUGUACUUCUCUAGAAGAAAACAAAGGUCUUUCUAUGAAAGAACUACAAAGUAGCUUCUAUGUUUUAAUAUUAGGAGUAGUUACAGCAUUUACCGUACUAAUAAUUGAAGUGCUAUUUAGAAAAAUUAAACGCCAGAAGUAUAACUUUUCAGUAAACAAGAGGGAAAACAGUGGAAAUUCCCAAACCGACCAUUUCAACGAUACCUCCUGUGAAAAUAAGGGCAUUGAUAUAGUAAC
Molecule: RNA transcript, 1158 nt
Organism: Mytilus californianus (California mussel)
Lineage: Eukaryota; Metazoa; Mollusca; Bivalvia; Mytilida; Mytilidae
Gene name: ionotropic receptor 25a-like
Exons: 4
Source: RefSeq, a predicted model, not a curated record